GGGGCUGUAGCUCAGUGGCAGAGUGCUUGUCUUGCACAUAUGAAGCACUGGAUUCAAUCCUCAGCACCA
RNAcentral lists this transfer RNA (69 nucleotides) under Ictidomys tridecemlineatus (thirteen-lined ground squirrel). Its description in RNAcentral is "Spermophilus tridecemlineatus (thirteen-lined ground squirrel) tRNA". It matches the Rfam family "tRNA". Rfam says of the family: Transfer RNA (tRNA) molecules are approximately 80 nucleotides in length. Their secondary structure includes four short double-helical elements and three loops (D, anti-codon, and T loops). The record is from Rfam by way of RNAcentral. Lineage: Eukaryota; Metazoa; Chordata; Mammalia; Rodentia; Sciuridae.